This is a long non-coding RNA of Vitis vinifera (wine grape), 651 nucleotides long. RefSeq lists it as uncharacterized. The transcript is spliced from 2 exons. Lineage: Eukaryota; Viridiplantae; Streptophyta; Magnoliopsida; Vitales; Vitaceae. The record is from RefSeq and is a predicted model, not a curated record.
UUCUCGAUCGGUUUGGCAGGUAUGUGGCUGCUACGGGUGCGGUCGGAUUUUUGUACACGGUGGCGCAAAUACCCUUUGCUGUAUAUCAUGCCUGUACUGAAAAGAGGCCCCUUCGCCCGGAGUUCGACUUCUAUGGAGACAAGGUCAUUAGCUUGCUUCUGGGCACCGGUGUGGGAGCUGGUUUUGCAGUCACUUUUGAGUUUAAAAGAAAUUUGAAUGAUUUUGUACAAGGUGUGGAAGAUUUGAGUGGUCAAGAUUUAAGUGAAUUCAAAUCCAAGACGGAGAAAUUCCUGGAUAGGGCGACAAUUGCUACAGGUCUGCUGUUCCUGGGAUUCAUUUGCAUGGCCAUUCUUUCAGUACUUUCAUCCCUCAGUAGGAGUAGUGCUAAAUCAAGCAAAGGCUUCUUUGGAUGAUCACCAUCAAAUUCUCAAACUUAGGGAAUUCAGUUAUUCUAAUAUUAUUGUGAAUCAGCGUUGAUGUUCCUUGUUUUUUUUGCUACGAUUUGAUUUUGUUUCUGGGUGCAUGCAUGGUUCCUGUAAUGCAGAUACAACAUUAUUUAGCUGGGUUUUUAUUUCAUUGUCACUAUUUUGUAUUGGAGUCGAGACUCUGUUUUCAAAGUGUUAAGUCAACAUGAUAAAUUGGUUUUCUUUC